RNAcentral lists this ribosomal RNA (408 nucleotides) under uncultured ammonia-oxidizing beta proteobacterium. RNAcentral's name for it is "bacterial SSU rRNA". It matches the Rfam family "Bacterial small subunit ribosomal RNA", at positions 202 to 591 of the family's 1533-position model. Lineage: Bacteria; Pseudomonadati; Pseudomonadota; Betaproteobacteria. The record is from RNAcentral.
GAAAGCAGGGGAUCGUAAGACCUUGCGCUUUUGGAGUGGCCGAUGCCUGAUUAGCUAGUUGGUGGGGUAAAGGCCUACCAAGGCGACGAUCAGUAGUUGGUCUGAGAGGACGACCAGCCACACUGGGACUGAGACACGGCCCAGACUCCUACGGGAGGCAGCAGUGGGGAAUUUUGGACAAUGGGCGAAAGCCUGAUCCAGCAAUGCCGCGUGAGUGAAGAAGGCCUUCGGGUUGUAAAGCUCUUUCAGUCGAGAAGAAAAGAUUGUGAUGAAUAAUCACAGUUCAUGACGGUAUCGACAGAAGAAGCACCGGCUAACUACGUGCCAGCAGCCGCGGUAAUACGUAGGGUGCAAGCGUUAAUCGGAAUUACUGGGCGUAAAGGGUGCGCAGGCGGCUUUGUAAGUCAG